Molecule: ribosomal RNA, 253 nt
Filed under: uncultured bacterium
Lineage: Bacteria
Description: partial 16S ribosomal RNA
Rfam family: Bacterial small subunit ribosomal RNA
Source: RNAcentral
UACGGAGGGUGCGAGCGUUAUCCGGAUUCACUGGGUUUAAAGGGUGCGUAGGUGGGCAUGUAAGUCAGUGGUGAAAUCUCCGUGCUUAACACGGAAACUGCCAUUGAUACUAUGUUUCUUGAAUUUUCUGGAGGUUAGCGGAAUAUGUCAUGUAGCGGUGAAAUGCUUAGAUAUGACAUAGAACACCGAUUGCGAAGGCAGCUAACUACAGGGAUAUUGACACUGAGGCACGAAAGCGUGGGGAUCAAACAGG